GGGCCCAUAGCUCAGCUGGGAGAGCGCAUGAAUGGCAUUCAUGAGGUCAGGAGUUCGAUCCUCCUUGGGUCCACGA
RNAcentral lists this transfer RNA (76 nucleotides) under Ignavibacteriae bacterium HGW-Ignavibacteriae-1. RNAcentral describes it as "tRNA-Ala". It matches the Rfam family "tRNA". Rfam says of the family: Transfer RNA (tRNA) molecules are approximately 80 nucleotides in length. Their secondary structure includes four short double-helical elements and three loops (D, anti-codon, and T loops). Further hydrogen bonds mediate the characteristic L-shaped molecular structure. tRNAs have two regions of fundamental functional importance: the anti-codon, which is responsible for specific mRNA codon recognition, and the 3' end, to which the tRNAs corresponding amino acid is attached (by aminoacyl-tRNA synthetases). tRNAs cope with the degeneracy of the genetic code in two manners: having more than one tRNA (with a specific anti-codon) for a particular amino acid; and 'wobble' base-pairing, i.e. permitting non-standard base-pairing at the 3rd anti-codon position. The record is from RNAcentral. Lineage: Bacteria; Pseudomonadati; Ignavibacteriota.